CUGUCAGCGGUCGUGUCUCCGUGGAGAGCAGCUCUAUCUCGGCCAUUGCUUCGGGAAUAGCCGCUGGCUCUUAUAACGUUAGUGGUUAACAAUGCGAUAUAGUUAAUUUUGGGUAUAUGAGACGAACAAUUGUUGCUCUUUUUAGACUUAAACUUAUUCCCGAGUGUGUCGAAUUAGUGAAGGGUUGUUUUAACGUUUAUAAUAUUAUUUUUUAAGACUGUAUUUCGCUUUCUGUACUAGAUCCCACUCUUCUUUUUCCCCCCACUGACAGGUUGCAGAAUAACAGCUAAUAUUAAUGGAUCAUUCUAUUCAAGAGAAUGUCAACUGGAACUUGGAUGUUUUCAUAACAGGCUUAAAGAUGAACAAAUUGAUAAAGAAACCCUCCUGCUGGACAUCCACUUCCAAAAGUGCACACCACACUGUUGUCUACAACUCCUAGGAAAAGAAUCCUCUUAAGUAAGACUGCUCCGUGGAUAUGUCAGGUUAAGCAGUGCUGAAACCGAAAGAACUAACACUAUUUAAAAUGUUUUGUGAGUUUAUAUGAAGAGGAAAGUUACGGUGUCCCUUUUUCACAUCCAUAACGCUUGUUUAUUUCUUUUUUUAUAGAAAACUUGUGCAUAGACUUAUAUUUUAACAUAUAAAUGCGGUUCUAUUAACAAGGGUUUAGUAAAAUACUUUUUAUAGCGUUUUGAAGUGUUAAGUUGUCUAACUAUUUAUAUUUACUUGUGCCACUUUAAUAACCUUGUUAAAUGUAUAUGUUAAAAUCUAAACUAAUGUAAUUUAUUGAAAUUAAUGUUCUUUAAAUAUGUAUAAACAUACAUUUCAUCAAAGUGUUUUAUAUGCCAUUUUAUUGUUCAUUGAGCAUAACAUAUUGCAUGUUUUUAUGAAUUCCUUUUGUCUUGCAUUUUGAUCCUUAAUAAAACUAUUGAUUCUUA
Triplophysa dalaica is the source of this 935-nucleotide long non-coding RNA. RefSeq lists it as uncharacterized. The record is from RefSeq and is a predicted model, not a curated record. Lineage: Eukaryota; Metazoa; Chordata; Actinopteri; Cypriniformes; Nemacheilidae. The transcript has 2 exons.